UAAAGCUUCAAACUGGGAUUAGAUACCCCACUAUAAGGAGCGAAAAAUUCAAUAUCUAAGCACUAAGGCUUAAAAGUGAUUUAUAUAACUAAAAAGCUAAAACUUAAAGAACAUGGCGGCGGAAAUAAAAUUUAGGGGAACUUACCAGAUAAUUGACAACCCUCAAAAAAAAUCACCUUUAUUCAAAGUUUGUAUACCGCCGUCUUGGGCCCUCUUAAGGAGGGCCCAAAACUAUAUAAUAAACAAGACAGGUCAUGGUGCAGCCUAUAUAGAGGACUGUAAGGUGAGUUACAAUAGUGAUUUACUUCGGAAUAAAAAUGUAAGAAUAAAAGGAAGAUGGACUUAACAGUAAUUGCUAAAGAAAUAUGCUUUGAAAUACAAAGAUUUUCGUGCACACACCGCCCGUCACCCUCUGCAGUCAA
RNAcentral lists this ribosomal RNA (422 nucleotides) under Aplysia parvula (little sea hare). Its description in RNAcentral is "partial 12S ribosomal RNA". The record is from RNAcentral. Lineage: Eukaryota; Metazoa; Mollusca; Gastropoda; Aplysiida; Aplysiidae.